Long non-coding RNA from Amphiprion ocellaris (clown anemonefish), 2110 nucleotides. RefSeq lists it as uncharacterized. The transcript is spliced from 5 exons. NCBI's taxonomy places the organism in Eukaryota, Metazoa, Chordata, Actinopteri, Pomacentridae. The record is from RefSeq and is a predicted model, not a curated record.
CCCCGGAUCCUCCUCCACUGCCACUGACCAAGCGCUGGAGUUGCAGGAUUUCGGAGGAUGAGAACUAAAUCUUCCUUCGGAGGCUGCCUCCACUCUCCUUCCCCUCCAACUUUUUCUGGUCAGCGACCUCCUGACAAACAUGCAGGAGGACCCCUCUCACCAUGUUUUACUAACCAAUGUGUGAGUUUCUCUCCCCAGAAGCCUCCUGCCCUACCUAAGAGGGCUGCUGGACCUCCUGCUGGCCAGUCUCCAUUUAAGAAGGUUCGCAAAUCUUCCAUUUCAUUAAAUUUACCUAGUUUUAUUUUCAACAUUGUAGCUACGUGUGAUUUUCUGGAUGUGAUCUGAUCAGAUUUUAUUUGAAUCAGUCUGUUGUGAUUAUGUCUGAUCAGAUCUAUUCCAACUUUAUUUGAAUGGAUUUUCUUGGAUUGUAUUUUGUGUGAUUCUAUCGGAGCUCGGUUCUUGACGGUGGAACUCUGGUCAGGGUUUCCUGUUAGAGGUGUGGGUGGAUCUGGGAGGGAUUGUGGGAUACCUCCAGUGGUCCCCCCCUUACAGUGAAGCUCCACUCUGUCAGAAGGUGAACAGGAUGCAGACGGCAUGUUACACAGGAGUAACAUGUAUGUCUGUAUCCCACCCUGGACCCACAGUGGAGUCCACAGUGACAAGAUCACAGUUCAGGAGAGUCACACUGGGAUUUAAAAGGGGGGUCAAAUGUCUUAUUUAAGAUAAUAAAUGUAGUGUGAGGGUGAAGGUCUCGCUGCCAGAGGGAAGUUUCCAGAAAAAAAGGUACGUACGGAUCCCUGUGAAUGCUGCUGUAUGAAAAGGUGAGUUUGGGAUUUUGAUUUUGCAUUCGUAUAUCUAAUAUUUUGAAAUCUCAACAAUAGUAACACUUGGAGAAGAUUCUGCUGCGUUUUUCUUUUUGAUUUCUUUCAGACUGAUGACCCCGGGACCCAAGACCAAGACAAGGAUGAACCCAAAAGACGACUUGAAGACGAGUGACCGAGUCCCAACAGAGAUGAAGCCAGAGAUGACGACCAGCCUGUGAGGAGAAAAAAGAACAACUUUACUGAGACUUUACUGGAUGCACUGGUGCUUCAAUGACACCAAGCAGAUUCAGACAGGAUGGAACAGAGAUGAUGGGAGGCAGAUCCAGGACCAGUGCAUGACCAUCGCAAGACCAUUCAGUUAACACAAGAGCUCUCUCUCCAAGAUCCUCAAUCUAAUGAAAGAUCAGAUCAACAAACCAGACAAGGAACAGCCCAGAAGGAAGUCGGAGCACCCAGAGGAAACCCACACAGUCGCAGAGAGAACAUGAACAGAAAGAACCAGCUGAGCAGCAGAAGAUAAGGAGAUGGUUGGAGGAGCCCCAGGACAGCAGAACCAGGCCAGGAAGAUGAAGAAGAUGAAGACCAGCCCCAAAUGGACAAGAAGAAGAAGAAGAAGAGCAGCUCCAGAUUUCUCCAAUGGUUUCUCUGGAUCUGGAGCUGCAUGUUUCUUAUCUGCUGUUAUUGGCCUCAGCGACCUCCACAGUCUUCAUGUUCUCUUCCUCCUCUCUACCCUCAACCCAACCACAGCUGUUUUUUUUUUACUUCCCAGAUGGGAGGUUUUUUUUUUCCUCACCCCAAUUGGAGGUUUUUUUUUGUACUUCCCAACAACAGGAAGUUUUUUUUUCCUCCACACUGGUACCACAUGCUUGACUUGAUCAUACUGCAAAAAGAGAAAUCUUCAAAUAAAAAACAAAACAACACAAUAGAACUGUAUCUUUUUGUUUAAAAGUGUAACAUAAUGAACCCUUCCAUUUAUGCUUAUUUUUGGAGAAUGUGUUUUAUGUUUAGAAAAUUAUAUUAGUCUGAAAAACAUGGUUUCAAACCACAGGUUUCUCAAAAACACCUGGACUCCAUCUUAAAACUACACAGCAUUUGAACAUACUGCUGGGUGUGUAAUAACUUGGAGUAAAUACACAAGAUAGUAAAUGUUUGACAGUAAAAUUAGACUUUUUUUUGCUGCACAUUAAGGACUAAAAAUGGUAAAUAAUUUCUGUAUAACUUGGUGUCAGAUGUUUAAGAAACAAGAUGGCGAUUGGGCCACGUUUCAUAAAAUGCUCCAAAUAUCA